Molecule: transfer RNA, 82 nt
Filed under: Streptomyces diastatochromogenes
Lineage: Bacteria; Bacillati; Actinomycetota; Actinomycetes; Kitasatosporales; Streptomycetaceae
Description: tRNA-OTHER
Source: RNAcentral
GUCUUCGUCGUCCAGCGGCCGAGGACACCGGUCUCCGGUUCGCCCGGAAUCGGAAACCCGGGUUCACAUCCCGGCGAAGGCU